UGGGGAAUAUUGCACAAUGGGCGCAAGCCUGAUGCAGCCAUGCCGCGUGUAUGAAGAAGGCCUUCGGGUUGUAAAGUACUUUCAGCGGGGAGGAAGGGAGUAAAGUUAAUACCUUUGCUCAUUGACGUUACCCGCAGAAGAAGCAUCGGCUAACUCCGUGCCAGCAGCCGCGGUAAUACGGAGGGUGCAAGCGUUAAUCGGAAUUACUGGGCGUAAAGCGCACGCAGGCGGUUUGUUAAGUCAGAUGUGAAAUCCCCGGGCUCAACCUGGGAACUGCAUCUGAUACUGGCAAGCUUGAGUCUCGUAGAGGGGGGUAGAAUUCCAGGUGUAGCGGUGAAAUGCGUAGAGAUCUGGAGGAAUACCGGUGGCGAAGGCGGCCCCCUGGACGAAGACUGACGCUCAGGUGCGAAAGCGUGGGGAGCAAACAGG
RNAcentral lists this ribosomal RNA (429 nucleotides) under Chloroflexota bacterium. RNAcentral's name for it is "Chloroflexi bacterium partial 16S ribosomal RNA". It matches the Rfam family "Bacterial small subunit ribosomal RNA", at positions 355 to 776 of the family's 1533-position model. The record is from RNAcentral. Lineage: Bacteria; Bacillati; Chloroflexota.